CGAGGAUUGUGGCUACGCCAACUUCUCCAACCUCAUAGCCUAGGAGAUGGGGUGUGCUCCAGCGACUCCAGCCUGUUCGGGAGGACGGGGACCUGCACGGCAACCGAGUUGACGACGAGGAACAACACGCUGAUGAGCACAGAUUUGGAUUUUGGGCCACCCAGUGCUCCCCACAACACAAGAUCGGUAGGAGCAUCACAAUUUCAACGCAUUUGGUGAUAUCAGAGACCACUUCUUUUUUCAAACACAGUUUGUUCUUAUUUUCUUUUGCGUGGAAGCACUUGAUAUGCAAACAGCAAACCCGAAAGAGGCUUUGAGAGGAUUAGCUUAUCAUCAGUGGCAGAUAUAUUGGCUCAAGAUGUUCAUGAACUUCCUACGAGAUCAAAUGUUCAUGAAUAUGGUCUUCAAAUGUUUUACAUCAAGACCAAUUUACUAGCUCAGAUACCAAGCUUCACAACUAAGUGUGUUACUUGCUACCCAUCUGUGGAAGUAUGGUAGCAGAAACAUAAAUGCAAGUACCAGCCAUGUCCCAACCAAGAA
Lolium rigidum is the source of this 540-nucleotide long non-coding RNA. RefSeq lists it as uncharacterized. The transcript has 3 exons. Lineage: Eukaryota; Viridiplantae; Streptophyta; Magnoliopsida; Poales; Poaceae. The record is from RefSeq and is a predicted model, not a curated record.